Molecule: ribosomal RNA, 253 nt
Filed under: uncultured bacterium
Lineage: Bacteria
Description: partial 16S ribosomal RNA
Rfam family: Bacterial small subunit ribosomal RNA
Source: RNAcentral
UACGUAGGUGGCAAGCGUUGUCCGGAUUUAUUGGGUUUAAAGGGUGCGUAGGUGGCCCUGUAAGUCAGUGGUGAAAUAUCUCAGCUUAACUGAGAGGGUGCCAUUGAUACUGCAGGGCUUGAGUACAGAUGAGGUAGGCGGAAUUGACGGUGUAGCGGUGAAAUGCUUAGAUAUCGUCAAGAACACCGAUAGUGAAGACAGCUUACUAGACUUCAACUGACGCUGAGGCACGAAAGUGUGGGGAUCAAACAGG